This is a long non-coding RNA of Triticum aestivum (bread wheat), 3415 nucleotides long. RefSeq lists it as uncharacterized. The record is from RefSeq and is a predicted model, not a curated record. NCBI's taxonomy places the organism in Eukaryota, Viridiplantae, Streptophyta, Magnoliopsida, Poales, Poaceae. The transcript is spliced from 2 exons.
CACAGGGCAGCGUCUCUUUGGCGGCACAUGGUUAGCCGAGCCCGUCAGCAAGGCCUCUGCUCUCACCGCCUAUUUCUACCUGGUUUGGAGAGUGGGAGACUCAGUCACAGAGACAGAGAGAGUGCUAAGCGGCGGGCGGGGGGCUCCUCCCGGAGAUCACCGGCGGCCUGCUCGCCUGUGAGUACGUGCAGCGGCCCGAAGAGGCGCGUGCUCGCAGGGGGAGGCGCCGGAUCUCGCGGGACAAGUGCGUCCACAGCGUGAGGUACCUUGUAUGGGAUGAAGUGAAGGCUGUUUUAUUAAUCAAUCAUCUUAUUAUGUGCACAAUAAGCUUUUGCUAUGCUUUCACCGUUGAUGCCCACUGGUUGGAUCAUGCUUCUGUUUACGAGCUCAUUGAAGUAAAUCUCUCCUAGCUCAAAUUGGGCCAAUUUCUCGUUUGCACUAUAUAUAAAACCUUCAGCUAUCCAUCUCCAUAUCAGUCCGUCUCUCUGAAUUUUGUAAUCUUUUGGAAAUAUGCUUAAAGAUCCUCGAACGUAAGUACGAGCCACACAUGCUGCACCAAUACUAUGAAAAGUAGCAUUAAAUGAGUAAAACAGGCUCUUGACUUUUAGAUUAUGCAAGUGCUUUGAUCUACAAGUCAACCCUUUUUUACUAACUACUAGUAGCUUUGAUCUGCCUUCUUAUCUAUAGGAUUAGUUAUUAUGUCUAACUAUGUUUUUAGAAGAUUAAGCAAGCUUAUUCGAUAUGUAAAUGGAUAGUUUGAGGUUUUAUUUAUAAUGAUAAACAAGGGAUUAGCAAGUUUGAGCUCGGUGAUAGAAUUACUCAAUGAGAUCCUAAAUAGAAGCAUGGUUCAACCAAUUGACAUCAAUGUUGAUAAAGGCAUGGAAAAAUCUUAUCGUAUACAUGAUAUGGUGAUUGAUUCCAUAUGUUUUUGCCAAGUGAAGAAAAACCAUUUGCAUGGCACUCAGUCAAAGGCAAGAUUUGAAGAUUAAACAUUCCAAAGAGCAUGACAGGUUUGAAGAUUAAACAUUCCAAAGAGCAUGACAGGUAGCAUCGAUGCCACAAGUGAGGUUUGUUGCAAUUGUUGAUUCAGUGUAGCUUAUAUCAAGUGUUCCAAGUUCUACAUGUGUUGGAUUUAGAAUAUUGUGCUGGAUGCCUCCAUUCUUGCCAUUCAUAAUGAUUUAAGAGCACUGAAUUUGUCUUGGUGUUUUGAUUUGUUUUCCUUCUGCAACGACAUGAAGCUCUCAUUUUAUUUGUACCCACUUGUGCUGAAAUAUGUUGUCACUUUGCUCCUGCAAUUGACUGAUGAUUAACUUGUUUUCCCAUUUAUUUAUCUUGUAAGGAUUCUUGCUGGUUAAUCUGCCUGAUUUUAGCUGUCCAUUGCGUCUCUUAUAUUUAUAACAGCUUUCAGUGUCGUUUUACUCUACACUGGAAUGAAAUUUUAGGUCAUUCAGUUUGUGCAAUGUUCUGAGAUUUCACCUUUUAGGUCAUUAAUUUUGUUUAUGGCCCUCUAUGUGACACAUUUGUUUGAAUUUGACUGCACAAAUGUGGCAGUGCUACUAGCCUGAAUUGGUGCCUAUGAUUUUUAGAUGUAAAAUGGUUUGGAUAAGCAGGCAAUACGAUAACCUUUUAUAGCUUACAGUUAUAACGUCUUAACUGUUACUCUUUUGGCUUUCUGACUGCAGCAGGAAUGGCACAAUUGAGGGCAUUGUCCAUUUAAUGCCUGUUUCUGUUGAGUGUUCAAUGGUUUAAGUUCUCCUCUUCUUGGAUUUAGUUUGGAUAUAUGCUUCCAUUCUUGUCAACUGAGACGGCCUGAGAACACUGCAUUUGCCUUGGUGUUUUGAUUUGUCUUUCUUCUGCAACACAGACAUGAGAGUUCUCAUUGAGAUUCUACCCACUUACUCAGCAGUGCCUGCUGUACUUUGCUCAUGAAGGACUUCUUUUCUCCAUUUCUCUGUUAUGUAAGGAGGAGUAUAUAAGUAAGGUGUACUGCUGGGCUUGGACUAUGUCUUUCUGUUUCCAGCAGCUUGUCGAGUCAGUUUUACUCAAUACUUUUGGACUGAAAUUUAAGUCGUUCAGUUUAUACAACAUAUUGUACACCUUUUAUUUGUAGAUGUUGCUAUUGCCUUGCUUCUUCCGCAGUUUUCUUCUCUUCUUUUGUGUGGAUUGCAGCUAGCAAAAUGUAAAGUUCAUGGUGGGUCGGUUUGGAGGGUUCAUAUUUCACAAUUGUUAUUGUGUGGUUCACCCUAGAAUUUGAGUUUAACGCAUACUUGUGCAAUUUUGGUUAGGAGUAUCAUGCUUGUUUUUAUAUGUAAUUGCUAUGUUUUGAGGCUACUUAUUUUAUUUAACCCAUUAUUUGCCAUUUGAAAAUAAUGUUGGCAUCGACAGUUCCUAAUUACAAAUGCUUAUCACUGGUUACCGCCUAAUGCUUGCUUGGUUUUCGGUGUGAUUUCAGCUUCGUUUAUAUUUGUGAAACAAUAGUACAUCCAAAAGGAGAAGUUGUUGAGGCGACUAGUCAUGACUAGUCGAGACUAGUCGCGCGAGUCGCUCGACUCAUCCCAGGAGUCGAGUCGAGAGGCUGAGUCGGCCCUGGAACUGCGACUCGUGGUCGACGACGAUGACUAGUCGAGCGACUCGAAAUCCAUGGUUACCGCCUAUGCUUGCUUGGUUUUUGGUGUGAUUUCAGCUUCAUUUAUAUUUGUGUAUAUAUGCACCACCCAUGUUUUGUGAAACAAUAGUAACAAGACGCGGUGCUUGAAACUCAUGAGUAACAAGACAACGAAAAACCAUGACAGCCUAUAACACAGGCGAAGUAGUUGAGCUGAUAGUCAUGACAGCCUAUAACACAGGCGCGGUGCUUGAAACUCAUGAGUAACAAGACAACGAAAAACCAUGCUAAAGCUGGAGGGAUUCAUAGAAAAUGCAUAGGAAAAAAAUCCCUGAGAAAUCUACCUUCGCUACAUUUUGGAGUGUAUGGAAACAUCGGCCAUAUGGGUCCACCAAGUAGAGAACAUAAAUAUCCCCUGCUGUUUCUACUUUCAUCUGCUAGUUUUGAUGUUGUUUUGGAUAAUAGAUAACCUAGGCUUUGUAUCUGGUAGCAUUUAUUAGAGAUUCAGUCUAAUGUACUUCGCUGUAGCGGUGCUGCCAUGAAGUUCGGUUUAUAAACCUCUGUUGUGUAAACAUACUGUUGAUCUGCUGAACUAAAAUUAUGACCCUGUUUACCUGUGGUGGUGCACUUCACAACAAUUUUACUUGUUCUUUCAUAGUUCUACUCCUAUCGUAUAAAUGUUGAUGUCAUAACACUAGCUGCUGGCACCGUGGCACGCCUAUCUCUGGCUCAUGGAUGUAAAGGUCUACAUGUACAUCUCUGAAAAUACAAUUUAUAUUUCUUCCUGGAAAAUUUCCAUUGUUCUGUUCA